This 478-nucleotide ribosomal RNA is filed under the name uncultured bacterium. RNAcentral's name for it is "partial 16S ribosomal RNA". It matches the Rfam family "Bacterial small subunit ribosomal RNA", at positions 28 to 507 of the family's 1533-position model. The record is from RNAcentral.
GAUGAACGCUGGCGGCGUGCUUAACACAUGCAAGUCGAACGAGAAGUGAAGACGGAAACCUUCGGGCGGAAGGCUUUAUUUCGAGUGGCGGACGGGUGAGUAACGCGUGGGUAACCUGCCUCAUACAGGGGGAUAACAGUUGGAAACGACUGUUAAUACCGCAUAAGACCACAGCACCGCAUGGUGCGGGGGUAAAAACUCCGGUGGUAUGAGAUGGACCCGCGUUCGAUUAGCCAGUUGGCGGGGUAACGGCCUACCAACGCGACGAUCGAUAGCCGAUCUGAGAGGAUGACCGGCCACAUUGGGAAUGAGACACGGCCCAAACUCCUACGGGAGGCAGCAGUGGGGAAUAUUGCACAAUGGGGGAAACCCUGAUGCAGCGACGCCGCGUGAGUGAAGAAGUAUUUCGGUAUGUAAAGCUCUAUCAGCAGGGAAGAAAAUGACGGUACCUGAGUAAGAAGCCCCGGCUAACUACGUG